This 468-nucleotide ribosomal RNA is filed under the name uncultured bacterium. Its description in RNAcentral is "partial 16S ribosomal RNA". It matches the Rfam family "Bacterial small subunit ribosomal RNA", at positions 28 to 507 of the family's 1533-position model. The record is from RNAcentral.
GACGAACGCUGGCGGCGUGCUUAACACAUGCAAGUCGAACGGAAAGGCACUGCUUUUGUGGGGUGCUCGAGUGGCGAACGGGUGAGUAACACGUGAGUAACCUGCCCUUGACUUUGGGAUAACUUCAGGAAACUGGGGCUAAUACCGGAUAGGAGCUCCUGCUGCAUGGUGGGGGUUGGAAAGUUUCGGCGGUUGGGGAUGGACUCGCGGCUUAUCAGCUUGUUGGUGGGGUAGUGGCUUACCAAGGCUUUGACGGGUAGCCGGCCUGAGAGGGUGACCGGCCACAUUGGGACUGAGAUACGGCCCAGACUCCUACGGGAGGCAGCAGUGGGGAAUAGUGCACAAUGGGCGGAAGCCUGAUGCAGCAACGCCGCGUGCGGGAUGACGGCCUUCGGGUUGUAAACCGCUUUCGCCUGUGACGAAGCGUGAGUGACGGUAAUGGGUAAAGAAGCACCGGCUAACUACGUG